RNAcentral lists this transfer RNA (73 nucleotides) under Elusimicrobia bacterium RIFOXYA2_FULL_39_19. Its description in RNAcentral is "tRNA-Ala". Lineage: Bacteria; Pseudomonadati; Elusimicrobiota. The record is from RNAcentral.
GGGCCAGUAGAUCAAUUGGGAGAUCGUAUCCUUGGCGUGGAUAAGGCUGGCGGUUCAACCCCGCUCUGGUCCA